Molecule: ribosomal RNA, 490 nt
Filed under: uncultured bacterium
Lineage: Bacteria
Description: partial 16S ribosomal RNA
Rfam family: Bacterial small subunit ribosomal RNA
Source: RNAcentral
GAUGAACGCUAGCGAUAGGCUUAACACAUGCAAGUCGAGGGGCAGCAUGGUCUUAGCUUGCUAAGGCUGAUGGCGACCGGCGCACGGGUGCGUAACGCGUAUGCAACUUGCCUCACAGAGGGGGAUAACCCGUCGAAAGACGGACUAAUACCGCGUACACUCUAUGUUGGGCAUCCAAUGUAGAGGAAAUGAAAUUCGCUGUGAGAUAGGCAUGCGUCCCAUUAGCUAGUUGGUGAGGUAACGGCUCACCAAGGCGACGAUGGGUAGGGGAACUGAGAGGUUGAACCCCCACAAUGGUACUGAGACACGGACCAGACUCCUACGGGAGGCAGCAGUGAGGAAUAUUGGUCAAUGGGCGAGAGCCUGAACCAGCCAAGUCGCGUGAAGGAUGACUGUCUUAUGGAUUGUAAACUUCUUUUAUACGGGAAUAACAAGAGUCACGUGUGGCUCCCUGCAUGUACCGUAUGAAUAAGCAUCGGCUAACUCCGUG